Hippocampus zosterae (dwarf seahorse) is the source of this 552-nucleotide long non-coding RNA. RefSeq lists it as uncharacterized. The record is from RefSeq and is a predicted model, not a curated record. The transcript has 2 exons. Lineage: Eukaryota; Metazoa; Chordata; Actinopteri; Syngnathiformes; Syngnathidae.
UUAUUUUGAUUAUUUAACAGUCUUCUAAAACUUAGUAAUUGUAACAAGUUACAUACACAACAAAUAAUAAAUGUAUACAAAAGUAUAAUAAAAAUAUGGCAGGGGUUACUAAUAAAACUCCAAUGAAAAAGCACUGACGACAUUUGAAUGAGAGCAGAGGUUCAUGGUUUUGAGAGUUUUUUGUUGUUGUUGUUUGUUUCUUGCAGUAAAUAUUGAAAGUAAAACGAAAUCCAGUUCUUUCAGAAACACAGAAGUAAUUGCUUUAAUCUUUGCAAAUACACAUUGUGAAUAUAUACUAAACAAGAAAGAGCCAUCUAUUUUAUCCUGUGUUUUAAGCUCUUGUAAAGUAAAUAUGACACUGCGGGCUUGGAUCAUAUUAGCCAAAUGUGGGCAACCUGUAUACAUUGGUUUGGACAUGCAUGUGGAUAUCUGAAUUUGAAAAGGAAUGUGUGUGUGUGUGUGUGUGUGUGUGUGUGUGUGUGUGUGUGUGUGUGUGUGUGUGUGUGUGUGUGUGUGUGUGUGUGUGUGUGUGUGUGUGUGUGUGUGUGUGAG